This 618-nucleotide ribosomal RNA is filed under the name Triticum aestivum (bread wheat). RNAcentral describes it as "partial small subunit ribosomal RNA". The record is from RNAcentral. Lineage: Eukaryota; Viridiplantae; Streptophyta; Magnoliopsida; Poales; Poaceae.
AUGAAACUCAUUGCUUGGAACUGCCGGGGAUUGGAUAACGGCCCGGCAGUCCGAGGGCUUCUGGAGAUCCAGAAGCGGGAGGACCCAGAUAUUCUUUUCUUGUCCGAAACCAAACUGGAUGAGAGGAGAAUAAAGCAUUUUAAAUGGGUGUUGGGUAUGAAGGAAAUGGUAAUAAAAGACUGUAAAGGAAAAAGUGGAGGGCUAGCAAUGUUUUGGAAGGAUACAGUGAAGGCUGAGCUUCACAAUUUCUCCAAGUACCACAUAGACAUUGAGAUAAUUGAAGACGAUAAUUUUAGAUGGAGGUUUACAGGUAUAUAUGGCGAACCAGCAAGUGACAAAAAGGAAAGGACCUUCAAUUUGCUUCGGGAUCUGAGUGCCCAGCUUGAAAGACCUUGGAUUUGUGUUGGAGAUUUUAAUGAAAUAUUGUAUGGCCAUGAGAAAGAAGGUGGCCCCCCAAGAAUUCAAGCCCACAUGGACAAUUUCAAAGAAACUCUUGAAGAAUGUGUUUUGCAGGACCUGGACUAUGAGGGGGAUAUAUUCACAUGGAGAAAUCAUAGCCAUUCGGCAGAAAAAUACAUUAAGGAGAGGCUGGAUAGAGCUGUGGCAAAUAUGGAGUGA